UUGAAGAGUUUGAUCAUGGCUCAGAUUGAACGCUGGCGGCAGGCCUAACACAUGCAAGUCGAGCGGUAGCACAGAGAGCUUGCUCUCGGGUGACGAGCGGCGGACGGGUGAGUAAUGUCUGGGAAACUGCCUGAUGGAGGGGGAUAACUACUGGAAACGGUAGCUAAUACCGCAUAACGUCGCAAGACCAAAGUGGGGGACCUUCGGGCCUCAUGCCAUCAGAUGUGCCCAGAUGGGAUUAGCUAGUAGGUGGGGUAACGGCUCACCUAGGCGACGAUCCCUAGCUGGUCUGAGAGGAUGACCAGCCACACUGGAACUGAGACACGGUCCAGACUCCUACGGGAGGCAGCAGUGGGGAAUAUUGCACAAUGGGCGCAAGCCUGAUGCAGCCAUGCCGCGUGUGUGAAGAAGGCCUUCGGGUUGUAAAGCACUUUCAGCGGGGAGGAAGGCGUUAAGGUUAAUAACCUUGGCGAUUGACGUUACCCGCAGAAGAAGCACCGGCUAACUCCGUGCCAGCAGCCGCGGUAAUACGGAGGGUGCAAGCGUUAAUCGGAAUUACUGGGCGUAAAGCGCACGCAGGCGGUCUGUCAAGUCGGAUGUGAAAUCCCCGGGCUCAACCUGGGAACUGCAUUCGAAACUGGCAGGCUAGAGUCUUGUAGAGGGGGGUAGAAUUCCAGGUGUAGCGGUGAAAUGCGUAGAGAUCUGGAGGAAUACCGGUGGCGAAGGCGGCCCCCUGGACAAAGACUGACGCUCAGGUGCGAAAGCGUGGGGAGCAAACAGGAUUAGAUACCCUGGUAGUCCACGCCGUAAACGAUGUCGAUUUGGAGGUUGUGCCCUUGAGGUGUGGCUUCCGGAGCUAACGCGUUAAAUCGACCGCCUGGGGAGUACGGCCGCAAGGUUAAAACUCAAAUGAAUUGACGGGGGCCCGCACAAGCGGUGGAGCAUGUGGUUUAAUUCGAUGCAACGCGAAGAACCUUACCUGGUCUUGACAUCCACAGAACUUUCCAGAGAUGGAUUGGUGCCUUCGGGAACUGUGAGACAGGUGCUGCAUGGCUGUCGUCAGCUCGUGUUGUGAAAUGUUGGGUUAAGUCCCGCAACGAGCGCAACCCUUAUCCUUUGUUGCCAGCGGUCCGGCCGGGAACUCAAAGGAGACUGCCAGUGAUAAACUGGAGGAAGGUGGGGAUGACGUCAAGUCAUCAUGGCCCUUACGACCAGGGCUACACACGUGCUACAAUGGCAUAUACAAAGAGAAGCGACCUCGCGAGAGCAAGCGGACCUCAUAAAGUAUGUCGUAGUCCGGAUUGGAGUCUGCAACUCGACUCCAUGAAGUCGGAAUCGCUAGUAAUCGUAGAUCAGAAUGCUACGGUGAAUACGUUCCCGGGCCUUGUACACACCGCCCGUCACACCAUGGGAGUGGGUUGCAAAAGAAGUAGGUAGCUUAACCUUCGGGAGGGCGCUUACCACUUUGUGAUUCAUGACUGGGGUGAAGUCGUAACAAGGUAACCGUAGGGGAACCUGCGGUUGGAUCACCUCCUU
This 1536-nucleotide ribosomal RNA is filed under the name Klebsiella pneumoniae. RNAcentral's name for it is "bacterial SSU rRNA". It matches the Rfam family "Bacterial small subunit ribosomal RNA". Lineage: Bacteria; Pseudomonadati; Pseudomonadota; Gammaproteobacteria; Enterobacterales; Enterobacteriaceae. The record is from RNAcentral.